UACGUAGGUGGCAAGCGUUGUCCGGAUUUAUUGGGCGUAAAAGGCUUGUAGGUGGCCACGCCAAGUCGGAUGUGAAAUCUCCCGGCUCAACUGGGAGGGGUCAUUCGAUACUGGCGGGCUCGAGGCCGGUAGGGGGAAGUGGAAUUCCCGGUGUAGUGGUGGAAUGCGUAGAUAUCGGGAGGAACACCAGUGGCGAAGGCGGCUUACUGGUCCGGUUCUGACGCUGAGGCGCGAAAGCCAGGGGAGCGAACAGG
RNAcentral lists this ribosomal RNA (254 nucleotides) under uncultured bacterium. Its description in RNAcentral is "partial 16S ribosomal RNA". It matches the Rfam family "Bacterial small subunit ribosomal RNA", at positions 524 to 776 of the family's 1533-position model. The record is from RNAcentral.